RNAcentral lists this long non-coding RNA (371 nucleotides) under Arachis ipaensis. RNAcentral's name for it is "long non-coding RNA (AIPA_LNC000749)". Lineage: Eukaryota; Viridiplantae; Streptophyta; Magnoliopsida; Fabales; Fabaceae. The record is from RNAcentral.
AAAAAAAAGUGGCAAAUGCAGUUAAUAUAUUUCUCACUGGUACUUGUUUUCUCAAGCUGAUUAGGAAGCCUUUGUUACUAAUUAACUUCAAAUAUUAUUCUAAAACAUCAUCCUCAUCAUCAAUUCACUACAUAUUAUGAAAGCAACAAAAAUUCUCGAAAGCAAAGAAAACAGACACACGUUUUAUUAUUGGUGAACUAGUACAAAUGACUGAGAUAGAAAUAAAUUAUCUGAGUUAAAGAUAAAGUCACCAAUAAUAAUAUUAUUAAAGGGAUAGCUAGGUAGGAGGAAGCAUAAGCAGAAAAUUAAAGGAGGAGUGUGGGUAGUAAGAUUUGUUAUGUUUUGAAUGAACAUUCAUCGUAACUUACGUA